GACGAACGCUGGCGGCGUGCUUAACACAUGCAAGUCGAACGGAAAGGCCCUGCUUUUGUGGGGUGCUCGAGUGGCGAACGGGUGAGUAACACGUGAGUAACCUGCCCUUGACUUUGGGAUAACUUCAGGAAACUGGGGCUAAUACCGGAUAGGAGCUCCUGCUGCAUGGUGGGGGUUGGAAAGUUUCGGCGGUUGGGGAUGGACUCGCGGCUUAUCAGCUUGUUGGUGGGGUAGUGGCUUACCAAGGCUUUGACGGGUAGCCGGCCUGAGAGGGUGACCGGAGCAGGGGGGAGCUGGGAUACGGACCAGGCUCAUGGGGGAGGGGGGAGGGGAGAAGGUGGGAAGAGGGACGCGGGGCUGAGGAGGGAACGGGGGUGGUGGGGUGAUGGGGGUGGGGGUGUACACCGUUUGCGCGUGUGACGAGGGUGGAGCGGGGGUAAGGGGUAAAGAAGCACCGGAUAACGACGAGAGAGCGGCGGCGAGAAGAAGGGGAAAAGCACUCGUCUGAAC
This 510-nucleotide ribosomal RNA is filed under the name uncultured bacterium. Its description in RNAcentral is "partial 16S ribosomal RNA". The stretch from base 21 to 332 matches the Rfam family "Bacterial small subunit ribosomal RNA", at positions 48 to 357 of the family's 1533-position model. The record is from RNAcentral.